Molecule: ribosomal RNA, 515 nt
Filed under: uncultured bacterium
Lineage: Bacteria
Description: partial 16S ribosomal RNA
Rfam family: Bacterial small subunit ribosomal RNA
Source: RNAcentral
GAUGAACGCUGGCGGCGUGCCUAAUACAUGCAAGUCGAGCGAAUGGAUUAAGAGCUUGCUCUUAUGAAGUUAGCGGCGGACGGGUGAGUAACACGUGGGUAACCUGCCCAUAAGACUGGGAUAACUCCGGGAAACCGGGGCUAAUACCGGAUAACAUUUUGAACCGCAUGGUUCGAAAUUGAAAGGCGGCUUCGGCUGUCACUUAUGGAUGGACCAGGGUCGCAUUAGCUAGUUGGUGAGGUAACGGCUCACCAAGGCAACGAUGCGUAGCCGACCUGAGAGGGUGAUCGGCCACACUGGGACGGAGGAACGGACCAGACUCCUACGGGAGGCAGCAGUGGGGGAUCUUCCGCAAUGGACGGAAGUCUGACGGAGCAACGCCGCGUGAGUGAUGAAGGCUUUCGGGUCGUAAAACUCUGUUGUUAGGGAAGAACAAGUGCUAGUUGAAUAAGCUGGCACCUUGACGGUACCUAACCAGAAAGCCACGGCUAACUACGUGCCAGCCGCCGCGGUAA